Molecule: ribosomal RNA, 520 nt
Filed under: uncultured bacterium
Lineage: Bacteria
Description: bacterial SSU rRNA
Rfam family: Bacterial small subunit ribosomal RNA
Source: RNAcentral
UGGACAAUGGGGGCAACCGUGAUCCAGCAAUCCCGCGUGGGUGAAGAAGGCCUUCGGGUUGUAAAGCCCUUUCGGCUCGGAAGAAAUCGGCGGGGUGAAUACCCGUGCUGGAUGACGGUACCUGCAGAAGAAGCACCGGCUAACUACGUGCCAGCAGCCGCGGUAAUAUAUAGGGUGCGAGCGUUAAUUGGAUUUACUGGGCGUAAAGCGUGCGCAGGCGGCCCGUUAAGACAGGUGUGAAAUCCCUGGGCUCAACCUAGGAAUUGCGCUUGUGACUGGCGGGCUAGAGUACGGUAGAGGGGGGUGGAAUUCCUGGUGUAGCAGUGAAAUGCGUAGAGAUCUGGAGGAACACCCAUGGCGAAGGCAGCCCCUUGGGCCUGUACUGACGCUCAUGCACGAAAGCGUGGGGAGCAAACAGGCUUAGAUACCCUGGUAGUUCACGCCCUAAACGAUGGGUACUAGCCGUUUGGGCAUCAAGGCGCUGAGUGGCGAAGCUAACGCGUGAAUACCCCGCCUGGGA